GGAGCUCUAAACAUAAAACACAAUAAUCUCACUUCUCAUGGGUUUUACUAUAUUAUUUUUCAGCAGCAACAUUAAUAAAUCAAUAUGAACAAAACAUUUUCAUAUCAAUUACUAAUUGUUCAGUUUGGUUCCAAAUUAACAUAGGGAUGACUAACCUUGAGAAAUAGUUGUCUUAGCAAAAUCCCGGAUGAUAUAUUGCUUUGGUUCUAAAUUAACUUGCAUUUAACAACUACUUCCUGCCUCCACUAAG
Molecule: long non-coding RNA, 250 nt
Filed under: Lathyrus oleraceus (garden pea)
Lineage: Eukaryota; Viridiplantae; Streptophyta; Magnoliopsida; Fabales; Fabaceae
Description: Pisum sativum (pea) long non-coding RNA (PSAT_LNC035021)
Source: RNAcentral